This 1032-nucleotide ribosomal RNA is filed under the name Enterococcus casseliflavus. RNAcentral's name for it is "bacterial SSU rRNA". It matches the Rfam family "Bacterial small subunit ribosomal RNA", at positions 51 to 1216 of the family's 1533-position model. Lineage: Bacteria; Bacillati; Bacillota; Bacilli; Lactobacillales; Enterococcaceae. The record is from RNAcentral.
AUACUGCAAGUCGAACGCUUUUUCUUUCACCGGAGCUUGCUCCACCGAAAGAAAAAGAGUGGCGAACGGGUGAGUAACACGUGGGUAACCUGCCCAUCAGAAGGGGAUAACACUUGGAAACAGGUGCUAAUACCGUAUAACACUAUUUUCCGCAUGGAAGAAAGUUGAAAGGCGCUUUUGCGUCACUGAUGGAUGGACCCGCGGUGCAUUAGCUAGUUGGUGAGGUAACGGCUCACCAAGGCAACGAUGCAUAGCCGACCUGAGAGGGUGAUCGGCCACACUGGGACUGAGACACGGCCCAGACUCCUACGGGAGGCAGCAGUAGGGAAUCUUCGGCAAUGGACGAAAGUCUGACCGAGCAACGCCGCGUGAGUGAAGAAGGUUUUCGGAUCGUAAAACUCUGUUGUUAGAGAAGAACAAGGAUGAGAGUAAAAUGUUCAUCCCUUGACGGUAUCUAACCAGAAAGCCACGGCUAACUACGUGCCAGCAGCCGCGGUAAUACGUAGGUGGCAAGCGUUGUCCGGAUUUAUUGGGCGUAAAGCGAGCGCAGGCGGUUUCUUAAGUCUGAUGUGAAAGCCCCCGGCUCAACCGGGGAGGGUCAUUGGAAACUGGGAGACUUGAGUGCAGAAGAGGAGAGUGGAAUUCCAUGUGUAGCGGUGAAAUGCGUAGAUAUAUGGAGGAACACCAGUGGCGAAGCGGCUCUCUGGUCUGUAACUGACGCUGAGGCUCGAAAGCGUGGGGAGCGAACGGAUUAGAUACCCUGGUAGUCCACGCCGUAAACGAUGAGUGCUAAGUGUUGGAGGGUUUCCGCCCUUCAGUGCUGCAGCAAACGCAUUAAGCACUCCGCCUGGGGAGUACGACCGCAAGGUUGAAACUCAAAGGAAUUGACGGGGGCCCGCACAGCGGUGGAGCAUGGUGGUUUAAUUCGAAGCAACGAAAACCUUACCGGUCUGACCUACUCUAAUGAGCUUCCCCGGGGGCAAGGACAGGUGGCAUGCUCAGUAAUUGGUCCACCCCUUGUACUCUUGGCUA